Molecule: ribosomal RNA, 373 nt
Filed under: uncultured bacterium
Lineage: Bacteria
Description: bacterial SSU rRNA
Rfam family: Bacterial small subunit ribosomal RNA
Source: RNAcentral
GUAGGGGUCUAGCGUUGUCCGGAAUUAUUGGGCGUAAAGAGCUCGUAGGCGGUUCGGCAAGUCGGAUGUGAAAUCUCCACGCUUAACGUGGAGGGGCCAUUCGAAACUGCCGUGACUCGAGUCCGGUAGGGGAGUUCGGAAUUCCCGGUGUAGCGGUGAAAUGCGCAGAUAUCGGGAGGAACACCAGUGGCGAAGGCGGAACUCUGGGCCGGAACUGACGCUGAGGAGCGAAAGCGUGGGGAGCGAACAGGAUUAGAUACCCUGGUAGUCCACGCCGUAAACGUUGGGCACUAGGUGUGGGGUUCUAUCGACGGAUUCCGUGCCGUAGCUAACGCAGUAAGUGCCCCGCCUGGGGAGUACGGCCGCAAGGCUG